Molecule: ribosomal RNA, 492 nt
Filed under: uncultured bacterium
Lineage: Bacteria
Description: bacterial SSU rRNA
Rfam family: Bacterial small subunit ribosomal RNA
Source: RNAcentral
AUUGAACGCUGGCGGCAUGCCUAACACAUGCAAGUCGAACGGGGGCAGCAAUGCCCUAGUGGCGGACGGGUGAGGAAUACGUAGGAACCGGCCCACGAGUGGGGGACAACCUGGGGAAACCCAGGCUAAUACCGCAUACGCUCGCGAGAGGAAAGCGGGGGGACCUUCGGGCCUCGCGCUGGUGGACGGGCCUACGUCCGAUUAGCUAGUUGGUGGGGUAAAAGCCUACCAAGGCGACGAUCGGUAGCUGGUCUGAGAGGAUGAUCAGCCACACUGGGACUGAGACACGGCCCAGACUCCUACGGGAGGCAGCAGUGGGGAAUAUUGGACAAUGGGCGCAAGCCUGAUCCAGCAAUGCCGCGUGGGUGAAGAAGGCCUGCGGGUUGUAAAGCCCUUUAAGCGGGGAGGAAAGCCGGGGUGUGAAUAGCGCCUCGGGGUGACGUUACCCGCAGAAUAAGCACCGGCUAACUCCGUGCCAGCAGCCGCGGUAAU